UAAAAACCCCGACUUCGGAAGGGGUGUAUUUAUUAGAUACAAAACCAAUGCCCUUCGGGGCUCUUUGGUGAUUCAUGAUAACUAUACGAAUCGCACGGCCUUGCGCCGGCGAUGGUUCAUUCAAAUUUCUUCCCUAUCAACUUUCGAUGUUUGGGUAUUGGCCAAACAUGGUUGCAACGGGUAACGGAGGGUUAGGGCUCGACCCCGGAGAAGGAGCCUGAGAAACGGCUACUACAUCCAAGGGAGGCAGCAGGCGCGCAAAUUACCCAAUCCCGACUCGGGGAGGUAGUGACAAUAAAUACUGAUACAGGGCCCUUUCGGGCCUUGUAAUUGGAAUGAGUACAAUUUAAAUCCCUUAACGAGGAACAAUUGGAGGGCAAGUCUGGUGCCAGCAGCCGCGGUAAUUCCAGCUCCAAUAGCGUAUAUUAAAGUUGUUGUGGUUAAAAAGCUCGUAGUUGAACCUUGGGCCUGGCUGGCCGGUCCGCCUCACCGCGUGCACUGGUCCGGCCGGGCCUUUCCCUCUGUGGAACCCCAUACCCUUCACUGGGCGUGGCGGGGAAACAGGACAUUUACUUU
Molecule: ribosomal RNA, 576 nt
Filed under: uncultured eukaryote
Lineage: Eukaryota
Description: SSU rRNA
Rfam family: Eukaryotic small subunit ribosomal RNA
Source: RNAcentral